GAAAUCUGGGAUUCUGAGCAAAAGUCAGGGCAGUCCAUGACAUGCUUGUGUCUUUUCUUUCCUUGUCUGUGGCUCCUAAAUUUACACUCACACUCUUUGAGCACAAAUCAGUUACUUUAUGCGAUACAGGAUUUAGGAGUUUUAACAUGUGCUUGUUUCUAGGUAAGCUUGACCAAACCAAUUAGAUUUGGCUGUGCAUAUUUUUUCUUCUUGAUAACACCUGUUUUAAACACCAGAAUAAUGAAAAAGUAAUCAGAGCUCUAAAACUCUAAUUUUACUGACCUGGGAUACACUAGAUAGAUUGCUUAGUGGCAGAUGUUCAGGACCAAUGUAUUUAGCAUUUACUUUUACUUAAACACUUUCUAGCCUCGUCUCAAGAAGCAGAAGACAUUAAACCAGCAGCAUACAGGAUUAUUACAGGAUUCUGUGCUGAAAAAGUAAUGGAGAUGUUUUCAUUAAUUAUGCUCUUCAGCUUAUCCCAUUUUGUCCCAUACUUUCUCUCCAUGGUGAUGAGAAAUUUGAUAUUGACUCACACGUGCGAUAUCCACAGAAUUUGUGAAUUGGAAGGGGAGGAGUAUCUAGGCUGACCUCCACAUCCAUACUGACAGAACAUCUGAAUUCACUAAUGAUUUCAAAGGCACCAAGUAAAAUACUAUUCCUUGUUAAGACUGAAUGUGACAGCCUGCAAAUUGGUCAACUUUUAACAGCAGUAGUUAAAAAUACCAUUCCUAAUGAGAUACAUAGAGAAAUAAGAAUAGCCUCAAAACACAUAAAUGAAGGCUGAUUUGUCCUAGGAUGUUAGUCAGAUAGUGCCUCACAACUGGUCUUUCAGGAAAAUCCCAUGGUUGGAUAAUCUGUACCCUUAUUUGUGUUCUUCUAAAUGUUAGAAAUUGUCUGUUCCCGAAGUGUUCUCAGGCACAGCAUGAACACAAGGACUGGAGUGGAAAGGACUUCUCUGCCUUCACAUAAGGCUUCAGAAAAGUAUGAACAUAAGAAAGUCAUGAGGACUUAUAGCAUAUCACAGGAAUGGAGAGCUCUAGGACUCUGGGGAGUGUUUGCAUGGCAAGGUGGAGUCAUCAAGGUGGAGUCAUGUGCUGCUAAACAUAGCACAGAAUGGAAAUAUGUAUCAGUUUAAGGACUUCUUGGAACUACAGUAAAAUAGAAAACUUCAGCCUGUAAAAGAGCCCUGGGCAUCUUGCAGUUCAACCUCCUGGUGAAAGCUGGCCCUUUAUUCACCUUCCUUCCUUUCUCUACUUGUAGGUUUUGGGGUCUGUAUUGAUUUGUAUUUUAUAUCAUACUUCACAGUGACUAGAUAUAAAAAAUACUUACAAAUGAGACCCAAAGACAUCUGUAUUUUAAUUUUAUUUCUACUCAUUUAUGUUUAGAAGCAAUUCCAUUUCAUUUAAUAAAAAUUGUGACAUUUUCAGUGCAACUUGUUCAAGUUUAUUGCAUUAAUAUUUAUUGCAUUUUUUUUUUCUUUUUCAUGAGAGCAAAUGCAUAUAUGUCUGAGAUAUUUUUAAAUUUAUUCAGAGCCCAAAUAUAUUUUUGGGGAAAGAAGUGGUAUCAUAUUAGCCUGAAAUUUUGUGGAGUGCUUUUAGUGAG
Anas platyrhynchos (mallard) is the source of this 1602-nucleotide long non-coding RNA. RefSeq lists it as uncharacterized. Lineage: Eukaryota; Metazoa; Chordata; Aves; Anseriformes; Anatidae. The record is from RefSeq and is a predicted model, not a curated record.